Molecule: non-coding RNA, 115 nt
Organism: Cordylochernes scorpioides
Lineage: Eukaryota; Metazoa; Arthropoda; Arachnida; Pseudoscorpiones; Chernetidae
Source: the annotation of a GenBank genome assembly
ACAGCCAAACAACAUUGAAAACACUGUUUCUCAUCCGAUCACUGAAGUUAAGCAAUGUCGGGCCUGGUCAGUACUUGGGAGGGUGACCACCUGGGACAACCGGAUGCUGUAGGCU